GCCUCAUUAGCUCAGUGGUAGCAGCGCAAGUCUCAUGUCUUCGAUGUGAGUGGUCCAAGACCACGUAAACUUGAGGUCGCAAGUUCAAGCCUUGCAUGGGGCA
Molecule: transfer RNA, 103 nt
Organism: Hypholoma sublateritium FD-334 SS-4
Lineage: Eukaryota; Fungi; Basidiomycota; Agaricomycetes; Agaricales; Strophariaceae
Rfam family: tRNA
About the family: Transfer RNA (tRNA) molecules are approximately 80 nucleotides in length. Their secondary structure includes four short double-helical elements and three loops (D, anti-codon, and T loops).
Source: Rfam